RNAcentral lists this ribosomal RNA (216 nucleotides) under Streptomyces sp. NRRL F-4707. RNAcentral's name for it is "partial 23S ribosomal RNA". It matches the Rfam family "Bacterial large subunit ribosomal RNA", at positions 486 to 688 of the family's 2925-position model. Lineage: Bacteria; Bacillati; Actinomycetota; Actinomycetes; Kitasatosporales; Streptomycetaceae. The record is from RNAcentral.
GAUAGCGGAUAGUACCGUGAGGGAAUGGUGAAAAGUACCGCGGGAGCGGAGUGAAAUAGUACCUGAAACCGUGUGCCUACAAGCCGUGGGAGCGUCGGACAUCAAGCUUGCUUGGUGUCUCGUGACUGCGUGCCUUUUGAAGAAUGAGCCUGCGAGUUUGCGGUGUGUUGCGAGGUUAACCCGGGUGGGGAAGCCGUAGCGAAAGCGAGUCCGAAC